This 255-nucleotide ribosomal RNA is filed under the name uncultured bacterium. RNAcentral's name for it is "partial 16S ribosomal RNA". It matches the Rfam family "Bacterial small subunit ribosomal RNA", at positions 524 to 776 of the family's 1533-position model. The record is from RNAcentral.
UACGUAGGGUGCAAGCGUUGUCCGGAAUUAUUGGGCGUAAAGAGCUCGUAGGCGGUUUGUUGUCGUCGGCUGUGAAAUCCCGAGGCUCAACCUUGGGCUUGCAGUGGGUACGGGCAGACUAGAGUGCGGUAGGGGUGACUGGAAUUCCUGGUGUAGCGGUGAAAUGCGCAGAUAUCAGGAGGAACACCGGUGGCGAAGGCGGGUCUCUGGGCCGAUACUGACGCUGGAGGAGCGAAAGCGUGGGGAGCGAACAGG